This 253-nucleotide ribosomal RNA is filed under the name uncultured bacterium. Its description in RNAcentral is "partial 16S ribosomal RNA". It matches the Rfam family "Bacterial small subunit ribosomal RNA", at positions 524 to 776 of the family's 1533-position model. The record is from RNAcentral.
UACGAAGGGGGCGAGCGUUGUUCGGAUUUACUGGGCGUAAAGGGCGCGCAGGCGGCGCAUUUUGUCAGGCGUGAAAGCCCCGGGCUUAACCUGGGAACUGCGUUUGAUACGGAUGGGCUAGAGUUCGGGAGAGGAGAGUGGAAUUCCCAGUGUAGAGGUGAAAUUCGUAGAUAUUCGGAAGAACACCAGUGGCGAAGGCGGCUCACUGGUCCGGUACUGACGCUGAGGUGCGAAAGCGUGGGGAGCAAACAGG